AGGCUUAACACAUGCAAGUCGAGGGGCAGCGGGGGUAGCGAUACCCGCCGGCGACCGGCGCACGGGUGAGUAACGCGUAUGCAACUUGCCUAUCAGAGGGGGAUAACCCGGCGAAAGUCGGACUAAUACCGCAUGAAGCAGGGGCCCCGCAUGGGGAUAUUUGCUAAAGAUUCAUCGCUGAUAGAUAGGCAUGCGUUCCAUUAGGCAGUUGGCGGGGUAACGGCCCACCAAACCGACGAUGGAUAGGGGUUCUGAGAGGAAGGUCCCCCACAUUGGUACUGAGACACGGACCAAACUCCUACGGGAGGCAGCAGUGAGGAAUAUUGGUCAAUGGCCGAGAGGCUGAACCAGCCAAGUCGCGUGAGGGAUGAAGGUUCUAUGGAUCGUAAACCUCUUUUAUAAGGGAAUAAAGUGCGGGACGUGUCCCGUUUUGUAUGUACCUUAUGAAUAAGGAUCGGCUAACUCCGUGCCAGCAGCCGCGGUAAUACGGAGGAUCCGAGCGUUAUCCGGAUUUAUUGGGUUUAAAGGGUGCGUAGGCGGCCUUUUAAGUCAGCGGUGAAAGUCUGUGGCUCAACCAUAGAAUUGCCGUUGAAACUGGGGGGCUUGAGUAUGUUUGAGGCAGGCGGAAUGCGUGGUGUAGCGGUGAAAUGCAUAGAUAUCACGCAGAACCCCGAUUGCGAAGGCAGCCUGCCAAGCCAUUACUGACGCCGAUGCACGAAAGCGUGGGGAUCAAACAGGAUUAGAUACCCUGGUAGUCCACGCAGUAAACGAUGAUCACUAGCUGUUUGCGAUACACUGUAAGCGGCACAGCGAAAGCGUUAAGUGAUCCACCUGGGGAGUACGCCGGCAACGGUGAAACUCAAAGGAAUUGACGGGGGCCCGCACAAGCGGAGGAACAUGUGGUUUAAUUCGAUGAUACGCGAGGAACCUUACCCGGGUUUGAACGCAUUCGGACCGAGGUGGAAACACCUUUUCUAGCAAUAGCCGUUUGCGAGGUGCUGCAUGGUUGUCGUCAGCUCGUGCCGUGAGGUGUCGGCUUAAGUGCCAUAACGAGCGCAACCCUUGCCACUAGUUACUAACAGGUAAAGCUGAGGACUCUGGUGGGACUGCCAGCGUAAGCUGCGAGGAAGGCGGGGAUGACGUCAAAUCAGCACGGCCCUUACAUCCGGGGCGACACACGUGUUACAAUGGCGUGGACAAAGGGAGGCCACCUGGCGACAGGGAGCGAAUCCCCAAACCACGUCUCAGUUCGGAUCGGAGUCUGCAACCCGACUCCGUGAAGCUGGAUUCGCUAGUAAUCGCGCAUCAGCCAUGGCGCGGUGAAUACGUUCCCGGGCCUUGUACACACCGCCCGUCAAGCCAUGGGAGCCGGGGGUACCUGAAGUCCGUAACCGAAAGGAUCGGCCUAGGGUAAAACUGGUGACUGGGGCUAAGUCGU
This 1438-nucleotide ribosomal RNA is filed under the name uncultured organism. RNAcentral's name for it is "SSU rRNA". It matches the Rfam family "Bacterial small subunit ribosomal RNA". The record is from RNAcentral.